Molecule: long non-coding RNA, 341 nt
Filed under: Hordeum vulgare
Lineage: Eukaryota; Viridiplantae; Streptophyta; Magnoliopsida; Poales; Poaceae
Description: long non-coding RNA (HVUL_LNC021229)
Source: RNAcentral
UGGAAUUGGCAUUAUUGGGUAUUGACCCUCCGCUGCCAGAGCACGAGCUCACAUGACUCAUGCAUACUGAUUUCGUGGCCGGUGCUUCUUCGGUUGUUGGACGAUAAUCAUGGAGAGAGUGGAAUUGAGGUGGAUAGUACGAUAGGGGUCGAGGUAUUAGGAAUCGAUUACAGACGGGCACGCGCGAGACAUACGGCUCAAACUUAUAUUCCCCUACGCAAAAACCUAUUCCAAUAUGGCACUAUAUGGCAUCUUUUGGUGUAGGAGAUUAAUGGUUUCGUGGCCAACAAAAAAUGGUCUCCUACUUGCAUGUUAUAGACAUAUCAACCUCGCGGCGAUUU